UGCCAGCAGCCGCGGUAAUACGGAGGGGGUUAGCGUUGUUCGGAAUUACUGGGCGUAAAGCGUACGUAGGCGGAUCAGAAAGUAUGGGGUGAAAUCCCGAGGCUCAACCUCGGAACUGCCUCAUAAACUCCUGGUCUUGAGUUCGAGAGAGGUGAGUGGAAUUCCAAGUGUAGAGGUGAAAUUCGUAGAUAUUUGGAGGAACACCAGUGGCGAAGGCGGCUCACUGGACCAAUACUGACGCUGAGAUGCGAAAGCGUGGGGAGCGAACAGGAUUAGAUA
RNAcentral lists this ribosomal RNA (279 nucleotides) under uncultured bacterium. Its description in RNAcentral is "partial 16S ribosomal RNA". It matches the Rfam family "Bacterial small subunit ribosomal RNA", at positions 506 to 784 of the family's 1533-position model. The record is from RNAcentral.